This 393-nucleotide ribosomal RNA is filed under the name uncultured Flavobacteriales bacterium. Its description in RNAcentral is "bacterial SSU rRNA". It matches the Rfam family "Bacterial small subunit ribosomal RNA", at positions 1 to 394 of the family's 1533-position model. The record is from RNAcentral. Lineage: Bacteria; Pseudomonadati; Bacteroidota; Flavobacteriia; Flavobacteriales.
CUCGGAGUUUAUCUGGCUCAGGAUGAACGCUAGCGGCAGGCCUAACACAUGCAAGUCGAGGGGUAGCAGGAUUAAGCUUGCUUAAUUGCUGACGACCGGCGCACGGGUGCGUAACGCGUAUGCAACCUACCUUAUACUGGGGUAUAGCCCGGAGAAAUUCGGAUUAAUCCCCCAUAGUACUAUUUGAUCGCAUGGUUGAAUAGUUAAAGCAUUGCGGUAUAAGAUGGGCAUGCGUCCUAUUAGCUAGAUGGUGAGGUAACGGCUCACCAUGGCUACGAUAGGUAGGGGGCCUGAGAGGGUGGUCCCCCACACUGGUACUGAGACACGGACCAGACUCCGUACGGGAGCAGCAGUGAGGAAUUUGGACAAUGGACGCAAGUCUGAUCCCAGCCA